UGGAGGCUUCUUGGGGCCUGGGGGGGCAGUCCUGACGCAGCGAUGCCGCGUGGGGGACGAAGGUCUUCGGAUUGUAAACCCCUUUCGGGAGGGAAGAUGGGAUGGGGUAACCCAUUCGGACGGUACCUUCAGAAGCAGCCACGGCUAACUUCGUGCCAGCAGCCGCGGUAAUACGAAGGUGGCAAGCGUUGUUCGGAUUUACUGGGCGUACAGGGAGCGUAGGCGGGUCGGUAAGCCCUCUGUGAAAUCUCCAGGCUUAACCUGUAACAGUCGGAGGGGACUGCUGAGCUAGAGGAUGGGAGAGGAGCGCGGAAUUCCCGGUGUAUCGGUGAAAUGCGUAAAGAUCGGGAGGAAGGCCGGUGGCUAAGGCGGCGCUCUGGAACAUAUCUGACGCUGAGGCUCGAAAGCGUGGGGAGCAAACAGGAUUACAUACCCUGGUAGUCCACGCCUUAAACGAUGAAUACUAAGUGUCGGCGGGUUACCGCCGGUGCCGCAGCUAACGCAGUAAGUAUUCCGCCUGGGAAGUACGGCCGCAAGGUGGAAAACUCAAAGGAUU
Molecule: ribosomal RNA, 556 nt
Filed under: uncultured bacterium
Lineage: Bacteria
Description: bacterial SSU rRNA
Rfam family: Bacterial small subunit ribosomal RNA
Source: RNAcentral